Molecule: ribosomal RNA, 509 nt
Filed under: uncultured bacterium
Lineage: Bacteria
Description: bacterial SSU rRNA
Rfam family: Bacterial small subunit ribosomal RNA
Source: RNAcentral
CUGGCUCAGGAUGAACGCUAGCUACAGGCUUAACACAUGCAAGUCGAGGGGCAGCAUGAAGUUGCUUGCAAACUUGAUGGCGACCGGCGCACGGGUGAGUAACGCGUAUCCAACCUUCCCCUUACUAGGGAAUAGCCCGGCGAGAGUCGGAUUAAUGCCCUAUGUUCUCCUUUGCGGGCAUCUAACGAGGAGCAAAGAUUCAUCGGUAAGGGAUGGGGAUGCGUCUGAUUAGCCAGUUGGCGGGGUAACGGCCCACCAAGGCGACGAUCAGUAGGGGUUCUGAGAGGAAGGUCCCCCACAUUGGUACUGAGACACGGACCAAACUCCUACGGGAGGCAGCAGUGAGGAAUAUUGGUCAAUGGACGCGAGUCUGGACCAGCCAAGUAGCGUGCAGGAAUGACUGCCCUAUGGGUUGUAAACUGCUUUUAUGCGGGAAUAAAGUCAGGUACGCGUACCUGUUUGUAUGUACCGCAUGAAUAAGGACCGGCUAAUUCCGUGCCAGCAGCAGC